AGGUCCUGACUGCCAAUGAACCAGGCAAUGAUUCACAGGUGGAGAGACAGUCUGGGCAGCACCAAGCCGACAGCUAUUAUGAUUAUGAGUGGGGAUGAUUAUCGAGAACAGAAAUAACUGCAUAUCAUCCAAACCAUCUCCAAAUGAAUGGCUGCAAGGAUCCAGGAUCAAGAGAUAAUCCAUCAUGAAAACUGUUUCAUAGGAAUCAGCGAAUCCUGGGCCUGCCUGACCAUUCUGUUGCCCUGGAUGUGAAGCCACGCUGGAACUGCAUUUCUCAUGGUUGAAAGAGUUACGCAUCAAUAUCCAGAGAUACAAGAAGCCUUCCUGGACCCACACGACAAAAUGCUUAGGAGGAGAGGCAGGAUUUUUUUGAGACUAUGGAGGAUAGCUGGACCUUGGUCUGCCUGGGGGAUCUGGGGCCAUGGCCUUGUAUUCAAAGGAAAGGUGAAAAAUGAGGAAGUCUGGGAACCACUGAAGAAGGCAGCAGUGAGGGACGGAAGUAAUCAUCAGAACGUA
Labeo rohita (rohu) is the source of this 516-nucleotide long non-coding RNA. RefSeq lists it as uncharacterized. The transcript has 6 exons. NCBI's taxonomy places the organism in Eukaryota, Metazoa, Chordata, Actinopteri, Cypriniformes, Cyprinidae. The record is from RefSeq and is a predicted model, not a curated record.